ACCAAGUGACAAUAGAGCGUCUCAAAGCAAACACAGUAGUGUGCAAUGCUAAAGUCCUAACGUGCAUGUACUUACUUUGUUUGUUCUGAUACACUCUUAUGAGCUUC
This is a non-coding RNA of Bombyx mori (domestic silkworm), 107 nucleotides long. RefSeq annotates it as microRNA mir-3338. The record is from RefSeq and is marked provisional. The transcript has a single exon. Lineage: Eukaryota; Metazoa; Arthropoda; Insecta; Lepidoptera; Bombycidae.